RNAcentral lists this long non-coding RNA (6545 nucleotides) under Populus tremula. RNAcentral's name for it is "long non-coding RNA (PTRE_LNC002996)". Lineage: Eukaryota; Viridiplantae; Streptophyta; Magnoliopsida; Malpighiales; Salicaceae. The record is from RNAcentral.
ACAAGAUUUUUAAGAUUGCCUAGUUCUGGAGGGAUGGAAUUGAUGAAAUUAUUGGAAGAAAAAUCAAGCUCAACUAAUCGGCUGAGAUUUCCAAGUGAAGACGGUAACUCACCUGUUAGAUUAUUUGAGGACAGGUUGAGGUAUCUGAGUCGUGGGAGGAUAGAAAUUUGAGGCGGGAUGCUCCCAAUGAGCUCAUGGUUGGCCAGGUGGAGACGGGCAAGGUUUGAGAAGCAAGAAAAGUUCAUCUUUCCAAACUUAUUUCCCACCUUGUGGAACUCUGGAGGUGGGGAAAUCUCAGUGAUUCUUCCAGCCCGAUCACAGUCUAUGAACAGUGCAAUUAUAUGAACAAUAUUUUUCGUAUAUAGUUGACAUGAACAGUGCUGGGAAUUGCACUGUUCACUCAAGAAAUAGCGAACAGUUCAAUUCUCUUGCACUGUUCACUGCCUGCGUUUUUUUUUUUUUUUUUUGUGUGUUAGUUUUUUAAUAUUUUUUUAAAAAAAUUAGUUUAGAGUUAAUUUUAUACCUGAUAAUAUUUUAUCUAAUUUUAUUACAUGCUAAAAAUAUUAUGAAAACUGUAGUUUUUGUUGGAUGAAUCUCGUACGUAAUGGAAUUAUAAAUGGUUUCAUGGAAUAAUAAAAAUUAUAUUUAUAUAAAGUAUGAUUUAUUUCAUGAUAUAAUAGCAAUAGUUAAAUCCACAAUAUUUAAAUUAAAAAUCAUAAGUACUAAUAUAUAUUUUUAAAAUUAUUUUAUAACCUCAAUUUUAAAAGUAUUCUUAACCAAACACAUUAAAUUACUUUUUUUUCAACUUCAAUUUCAACCACAGUUUUAACCAAACACCUAUUUUCUCAAACCAAACUCAACUAAAAGCACUUUUUAUAAAACAACUUUUUUUAAAUCACAACCACAACAGCUACCACAAUACCAAACACACUCUUACUAUUUUAUAGAUAAAAUCGAUUCACCAAAUACUACUCAAGAAAAGAAAAAAAAAAAAGAUUCAUCAAAUCGGGGCCAAAUCCGACAUGCAAAACCCAAUACGAGUCCACAACUUGCCAAUAUGAAAUAGGCCCAGCUAACGAGCUCAUAAUCUCAUUCAGACAUAGCCCAGCAGCCGAGCUCAUCUGGAUAAUAGAAAUAUCCGAGGAAGCGCGCGGUCAAAACCCUUAAGGAAGGUCACGCGCCCCCAAAAACCGGUGUUUACUGACUGGCUUACAUUGUUAAACAACUCGUAGCACCAAAAAUUAAAAAAUAAAGAAAGGGAAGGCCAACAGUCAUAGUGAAGCAGGCAGCUUCAAAUAAAAUGCAAUUUGAGCAAUGUGAGUUGAAAUGCCAAGAAUCAUUGUUUUCUCAAACUACUCAGUUUUUAUUGGUCUCAAGAAUUUGCCACUCAAAAGAACAAGCAUUCCAUCUUUGAUCUGGAUGCCCCCCAAACAUAAGUUUUUUUACCUCAGCAAAAUAAAAAUGAAGCAAGGCCAUGAUGAAUAACUUUACAACAAUGCAGCAUUUCAACACAAUCUAUACAGCACAUACAAAAAUUGGCAACCGUGAAAAAAAAUGGAGAGAGGAGAGGGAGUGGAAAACCAGAUUGCUGCUAGAAAGAACUCCAAUUGCCAGAACUCUUUUUGGGAGUUUGAUCUUCAGAUGAAACCUUAAAGGGGGCACUGGAGCCAAAUGGAUCUCCAUCAUCAAAUGAAGAGAAUGCACGGCUGUGGCCAAAAUCUUUGGAGCUGUUUAUGGAGUCGAACCUUGUAAGCUUUUCUCGUGGUGAAAAGCCUCCUUCAUUCAUGCUGAAGGAAUCAAAUCUCGAGUAAUUAUCAAAAUGGUCCUCUGCUUCGCUGAACCUUGGAGAGUUGCCAAAUCUUGACAUUGGGGAACCUGCAACAGAUUCUUCAAAAAAUAUACUCUUUUUCUGGAAAGUAUUCGUUGUUGAUGUGGAUUCCGUUCUGAUUGGCUUUAGACCAAAAUCAUCAGAUCCAAAGAAAUCUCUCUCGUUCUCAGAAGAGCCCUGCUAGAUGACACAACCAAAUAAUUGAGGGCAAUGUGAAGAGAUAUCUCAGACUCUUAAUUGGUGUCCGAAAACAGCCUGGAUUCGUGGGAGUCUUGCCUGUUUAUGGUUGAAACUGAACGACAAACUAUAAUUGAAGGAGAAAAUCUAAGCAACCACCAUCUCUGCUUGAUUAAGCAAUAAGCGGGAAGAUUGAAAAAUCGUUGGUUUCUUUUUUCUUUUUUCAGCCUAAUCUGAACAACUUUCUCGCGUUUCUAAAUUUGUUUGGAUUUUAAGUGAGGAUGUAAAUUUUAAUAAUCAAAGGCUCAUGAAAUUCUGGCUCCGUUUACUGUAAAUAUUUAGAAUGAAUUACUCAUAAUCUUUUUUAAACUGACUUUUGAUUUUAAAUGUUUUUCUUUAAAAUCAUAAAACUAGACUUAACUAUUUAUUAUUAUCGUGUUAGAAGUAACUUUUAAUCUAAAAAGAGAUGAUUUAUUUAUUCUAAACCAAAGACUUUCAUGGGAUUCUAAGUUUGAUCUCAAGAUUUGUAAAUCAGAACCAUAGAACCAUCCAUCUUAAACAAAUUAGUUAUUUCAAUUUUUAAUUUUUUUUGUGGUGACGGGUGAAUUGGAUAAUGUGUGAUGGAUAUCCAAUUUGGAUUGAGGACUUGAUUAAGAAUUAGGCAAUAGUUGGAGGACUUGACAAGUAAUUGCAGAAGUAGACCUGGACAACCCUACAAUCUUGUCUUUUAGGGGAAGACUUGCCUUUCGGUUUUGGAUGAUGAGGAUUGAGGCCCUUGAGUUGCCACGUUUGUGGGUUCUGGUAAUUCUUGCAGGAAUUUGAAAUCUCGUGCUGAUUAGUCUUGCUCGUAUAAAAAGGCUUAAGCCAACAGCUGAUUGGGCUUUGUUUCGUGUUCAUGUUGGAAUAGUUUGUUUUUGCUUAGGUUCAAUUGAAGGCCCGAAAAGCCUCGAACAAGAAACUGAAUAAAGAAAAUUAUUGAAUAUACACAGCCAUGGGAUAAUUAAUAAAAUCCUAAAUAAAUAUAUUAUCCUUGCAUUCUAAUAUAAUUGCAGAAUUGGAUCGGCGACUUGUCAAUUGUCACCAUGAUAAUGGGUAUAUAUAUAGAGCUUUCAUGCAAGAGAAUAUGAACUGUCAGAUAAUCAUUUGUUAUAAUUAGACUAUGUAAAACAUGUAGCAUAUACGAUCUAUGAACGACCGUCCAACGAAAAAUAUGAUGCUCCAAAUAAUUUUUUUUUUCCUGGCUUGUCUAAGAGCAUCAGCGACAGAUGCACAUACCCCAACCUUUUUCUUAUUUAAAGAUAUCAUGAAGGGGGAAUUAAUGGGAUGAUCAAUGUGAUAACAAGGUAAAGAAUUUCAACUUUAAAAAUUGGUUUCAAUAUUUUAUAAAUCAGAUGCUGAUACGAAGAAAUCAUGUGCUCAUAAUCGGAUACUAUGAUAUAUUUUCUCUGUUAGUAAAUGUCUCUGAGAUUGAAAAUAAUUUAUAGCUAGGGAUCUUGUACAGCUACAGUGUUGUGCAUUUUACUAGAUAGACAUGCUCUUGUAUAUGGUCAAAGCUUGGUCCCUAACAUGAGACGUAAAUCUUCCUUUGGAGUGGAAGAUGAUUGAAAAUUCUAUCUGUGCCAAAUGAUAAAUAAUAAGGUGCAUCAUUCAGGGGGGGGAAAAACAAAACAUGUUGCUCAGAUAGUGACAGGAGUCAUAACAGACCGUAGAGAGUAGAUCUAAUCAUUGCUUUCAGGCAUCUAUUAUACAAAAGCUUGCAGGGACAAAUUAAUGGAGUUAACAAAUAUCUUCUGCAUAUUUCAAGUGUGGAUUUGCCUAAUUAUAAGAUGAGUGAUGAUUUCAAUUUAACAUAGACGUACAGAGAGGUAGACUUAAUAUGAUGCUCAUAUAUAUUGAUACUAGCUAUCAUGCACAAGAAAAGUGUGCAUUAUUAAAAUUACAUAACAAUGUCACACUAAAAUAUUACAAAGACAUGUAGUGUGCUAAAACAAAACAAAAGGAAAAAAAUUCAUCCAAAUUUAAGAAAUUCUAUAAACGCAUGCUCUUGGAGGUGCUCUCGUUGAAGUUCCAUAUGAGCUCGAAGUUGACUUUUUCAGCGAGGAACUGUGAUCUCACCUACAUUUGUGUGCAAGCCAAGAUUUCGCAACUCCAACAAAGAAAUCUCGAGACCUCCCAAUAAUCUCUUGGGAGAUAUAAAUUCUUGAGACACGAAUUUCAUUGAAGGUCGAUAUUUUGGAUUUGAAUGUAAGCAAGAAAAUAUGAGACUUGCAAUGGUACAUAUAUUCUGUAUGACAAUCUCAUUUUUUGGAGGUGGCAAACGAGGAUCUAACACUUCUUUCAAUGUAAUAGCCUGAGCAGAUGAUGAUAGGAUAUCUCCCGGAUGCCUUCCCAUCAAAGUUUCAAGCGCCACAACUCCGAAGCUGUACACAUCACAUUUCUCUGUCACCGCCAUAGUAUAAGCCAACUCUGUCCAUAUAUAAAACGAAAUUAAUAUAUAUAUAUAUAUAUAUAUAGAGAGAGAGAGAGAGAGAGAGAGAGAGAGAGAGAGUUUGCUUUAGUUUUGCAGUGCAUGAGUGGUAAAUAUGCAUGUUAAGAAGAAAUAUUUUUACCUGGGGCAAUGUAUCCAUAGGUACCAGCAAGUACAGUAUGGUUGGACGAAUCAGGAUCGAGAAGUCUAGCCACGCCAAAAUCAGCAACAAAAGACUUGGAUUCUGAAUUCAACAGAACAUUGUUGCUUGAUAUGUCUCGAUGAACAAUUGGUGGGUUGCAAUCAUGAUGCAAGUAAGAUAAUGCGUGAGCAAUGUCUUUGAUGAUGCGUGCUCUUUUCAUCCACUUCAAUUCCACAGCUCCGACAUCAUUUCUCAAGGCACAAAACAAGCUUCCCUUUUCCAUGUACUCGUAAACAAGAAACAUGCAGCGCUGAUGCAAACAGAAUCCAUAAAGCUUUACAAUGCUCCUGUGACGUAUUUGUGUGAGCACUUCCACCUCAUUUUUGAAACUCUUGUCAAAAGCCGGCUCCUCUGCCUCUCGACGAUGAAGUUUCUUCAAGGCAACUAAUUUCCCACUUGGAAGUUGUGCUCGGUAGACGCUCCCAUAACCACCGGUUCCGAUACAAUAUCUGAGGUCAAAGUUUUCGGUCGCUGUAACGAUGUCUUCGUAUGCAAUCCUCUCAUCAUAAUUCCAUAUGGAAAACAAGUCUCCAUUCUUUAAUGUUGUUGGCUCAGGUUGGGUAGCCUUGCAUCGAGACAGAUAAUAACAACAUCCGAGACACAAGAGACAAAGUAAAAUGGUGGUGAUAGGAAGAAAUAUCUUGAUGGAAUGAAUUAUUCCGUUGUCUUUUGAAGGUGUACAUUUUGAGUGAUUAAGGUGUAAAUAUUUGUUGCCCUCAAAUGCAGUAGCUCGAAAAAUUGCAGAAUUGUCGAUAAUUUGCCUAUGAAUAAGUAAAUCACAUAAGAAAUAAAAACUAAAGGGUGGUACUGGCAAAGACAAGGGAACAAGGCCUGAGAGAUUAUUGUAACGAAAAUUCACAUGUUUUAAAGAGUCCAAAUCAUAUAGUUCGGCGGGUAUCUCUUUACUUAAAUUAUUGAAGCUCAAAUCUAGGAAUUUCAAAUGAUUACAAAACUUCAAAGAUGAUGGGAUGGAUCCAUUGAUUUGGUUGUGAGAGAGGUCUAGCCUUGUCAAGUUUGUUAAAUUGCCUAAUGAAAAAGGAAUCAAACCGGUGAUUUGGUUGUAGGAAAGAUCUAGAAAAAUCAAAUUGGAUAAAAGGCCCAAAGUUGAAGGAAUCGAACCACCUAGGAUGUUAUUAAAGGAAAGAUCUAAAUCUUCAAGGUUCGUCAAAUUUCCUAUUUCCAAAGGAAUGGAUCCAUAGAUCUUGUUAUCACUAAAGAUCAAAGACCUCAACUUGGCUAACCUACCCAAUGUUCGAGGGAUUGGACCAGUAAGUGUAUUAUAACUCACGUCCAAACUCUCUAGAUUUCUCAUGUUCCCUAUUUCUCUAGGGAGGGCACUUUCGAGACUAUUAUGAUCCAUAAAUAAAUGCGUUAGAUUGUCCAAAUGACAAAGUGCCGAAGGGAUUGGGCUGCUGAAGCUGUUAUAAGACAAGUUCAAAGUAACAAGAUUUUUAAGAUUGCCUAGUUCUGGAGGGAUGGAAUUGAUGAAAUUAUUGGAAGAAAAAUCAAGCUCAACUAAUCGGCUGAGAUUUCCAAGUGAAGACGGUAACUCACCUGCUAGAUUAUUUGAGGACAGGUCGAGGUAUGUGAGUUGUGGGAGGAUAGAAAUUUGAGGCGGGAUGCUUCCAGUGAGCUCAUGGUUGGCCAGGUCGAGACGGACAAGGUUUGAGAAGCAAGAAAAGUUCAUCUUUCCAAACUUAUUUCCCACCUUGAGGAACUCUGGAGGUGGGGAAAUCUCAGUGAUGCUUCCAGCCCGAUCACAGGAUAUGCCAAUCCACUCGCAGCGAUGCGAGGUGAGGUUGCUGUACUGACUAGUCCACCAUCCACUCUCAAGCAAAGCCUUGCCUUCUGAUGCUAGCAAGGCCGAGUCA